RNAcentral lists this ribosomal RNA (580 nucleotides) under fungal endophyte sp. ECD-2008. RNAcentral's name for it is "eukaryotic LSU rRNA". The stretch from base 198 to 351 matches the Rfam family "5.8S ribosomal RNA". Lineage: Eukaryota; Fungi. The record is from RNAcentral.
AACCUGCGGAGGGAUCAUUACAGAGUUAUCAAAACUCCCAAACCCAUGUGAACAUACCUCGCGUUGCCUCGGCAGGUGGCGUCUCGCCCCGUAAGAACCUACCCUGUAGGACCUUACCCGGUAGACGACCCUGCCGACGGCCCCCGAAACUCUGUUUUAUAGCAUUAAACUUCUGAAAAUAUAACUAAAUAAGUUAAAACUUUCAACAACGGAUCUCUUGGUUCUGGCAUCGAUGAAGAACGCAGCGAAAUGCGAUAAGUAAUGUGAAUUGCAGAAUUCAGUGAAUCAUCGAAUCUUUGAACGCACAUUGCGCCCACUAGUAUUCUGGUGGGCAUGCCUGUUCGAGCGUCAUUUCAACCCUUAAGCCCCUGUUGCUUAGCGUUAGGAGCCUACCGGAACUCUCUGGUAGCUCCCCAAAGUCAGUGGCGGAGCCGGUUCGUACUCCAGACGUAGUAGCUUUUACACGUCGCCUGUAGCGCGGGCCGGUCCCCUGCCGUAAAACACCCCAAUUUUUAUAGGUUGACCUCGGAUCAGGUAGGAAUACCCGCUGAACUUAAGCAUAUCAAUAGCGGGGAGGGAA